GUGUUCGUAGAGAGGAUAGACGGUUGCCAUCUCCCCCGGCAGGGAUGAGAACAGCCUUCGGGUGUUUACCAUUUACGACACAUCCAGCCAGACAAAACACAUGUAUCAAGACUAGUGUUAGACAUCUUGAAUAUUUAU
This is a non-coding RNA of Solanum tuberosum (potato), 138 nucleotides long. The record is from Rfam. Lineage: Eukaryota; Viridiplantae; Streptophyta; Magnoliopsida; Solanales; Solanaceae.